AGAACAUACAACUUGUAUUUAUUUUAACUAGGCAAAUUCUCAUUUGUUUACUUGCUUUAUAGAGCAUAACUGAUAGUGGCAAUGUGGAAGAAAAUCUCUGCAUGGUUAUAAAAAUGAGAAUUUAAAAAAAAAAUAGUUCAGAGUGUUCUUUGUGCUAUGGCUGAAGCUAACUCUUUGGUUCUGAUGGAAAUUCUGGAAAUUCAUCACAGUUGAUGCUUAUGUAGGUGGAGUGGUAAUAAACCUGCAGUUUUUAGACUUGCGUGAGUAGGUAUGUGUUGAUUUAAAAAUAAAAGAAUGACACUUUUUUUUUUCUUGUAGACAAGAGGGAACUUCUGGAAAUUGCGAAAGCCAACGCUGCAAAAGCUCUGGGCACAGAUAACAUAGUCUUGCCAGCGAGCUUGAAGAUCCUUACUCCUUCCAAAGAGAUAAAAAAUGAAAAACAGGAGCAUGAAGAUCCUGGAGAGUCAGCUGAGAAACCACCGUAGACUUUGCGAUAAGCUGAAAGUACCACAGACUCCUCAGAGGUGGUUGAUCCACUGAGUACCUGCAGGCCUUCCAGCAGUGAUAGGUUGGGAAGGAGAGGUGAAUUUUCUUUGAGUUGUUUUCCUAAUAGGAUAUUGCCCAUUAAUGAGACUAAUUUACAUGUUUCUGGCCUAAAACAAGGAGUCUCCUUCCAAAAACCAGUAAAUACUGCGGGUUGUUUUUUUAAAGGUUAAAUCUUUCUACCCUUUGAACUGUUAAAAGCUUUUCAUGUGCAACAAACUGUUUCCCGGAAGUUACAUACCCAAGCACACAAUGCAUUUUACAUACUUUAUUUCUGUCUUUAUAGAAAUCAUGACUAUGGUUCCAGACAUGAUGAAGAAAAUCUGUUGGUAAUUAAGGGACUUGUGGGCUGUAGCUGCUGUGAAUUUAAGGGAGGGAGAAACUUGAGCAGCUUAAACUGAAUUUUAGUUUGACUCUGUUGUUAUAGCCUGUUAACCUGGUUCGUGGUAAAUACAAAGCUGCAAUAACUGUUACAUUGAUCAGAUACUGCUAUUUCAAAUGGAAAUAAAUUUACUAAGGGUUUUAGACAAAUGGUACAGGCAUCCCUUUCAUAAUAUAUGCAAUAUAUUCCAGAUGUUGAGAGAGUACAGAAGAAGAGGCCUGCAUCACUUGCAGAUAAGUUUAUUGUCGUUAUCCAAAGCUCUGCAGGAUGGAUAUGCAGAACUUCAUGUGUCCUACUUUACCAUGACACCUCAUCCCAUGGCAGUCCGUGCUCCCAAUUGUUUGAAUCCUUCUUAAAACUCUUAACUGGGGCACAGAUAUCAGGUCACGUGUGAAUUGGCACAAUGACAUUGGUAAAAAAUACCAAAUGGUUUUCAAAUUGAGUUCAGCAUCGAUCUGUUUGCGUAUUUAGUAGCUUACAGCUACUUUUGAUGUAAAUACCUGAAUCGGCUCUACCUGAAAGUUCAUUUUCUGUAGUAACUGCCUUAAAUUGCACGGAAUAACGUAUCCUCCCACUGAAGCUGUGUGUGCUCUUCUCUAGCAACCCAGAAGACUUGCAGAAGACGUGACCAAAA
Calidris pugnax (ruff) is the source of this 1559-nucleotide long non-coding RNA. RefSeq lists it as uncharacterized. The transcript has 2 exons. Lineage: Eukaryota; Metazoa; Chordata; Aves; Charadriiformes; Scolopacidae. The record is from RefSeq and is a predicted model, not a curated record.